CCCGAGGAUGGGCCGGCGGCCGAUUAGGUAGUUGGUGGGGUAACGGCCCACCAAGCCGAAGAUCGGUACGGGCUGUGAGAGCAGGAGCCCGGAGAUGGACACUGAGACACGGGUCCAGGCCCUACGGGGCGCAGCAGGCGCGAAACCUCCGCAAUGCGGGAAACCGCGACGGGGGGACCCCGAGUGCCGUGGCAUCGCCACGGCUUUUCCGGAGUGUAAAAAGCUCCGGGAAUAAGGGCUGGGCAAGGCCGGUGGCAGCCGCCGCGGUAAUACCGGCGGCCCGAGUGGUGGCCGCUAUUAUUGGGCCUAAAGCGUCCGUAGCCGGGCCCGUAAGUCCCUGGCGAAAUCCCACGGCUCAACCGUGGGGCUUGCUGGGGAUACUGCGGGCCUUGGGACCGGGAGAGGCGGGGGGUACCCCUGGGGUAGGGGUGAAAUCCUAUAAUCCCAGGGGGACCGCCAGUGGCGAAGGCGCCCCGCUGGAACGGGUCCGACGGUGAGGGACGAAGGCCAGGGGAGCAAACCGGAUUAGAUACCCGGGUAGUCCUGGCUGUAAAGGAUGCGGGCUAGGUGUCGGGUGAGCUUCGGGCUCGCCCGGUGCCGUAGGGAAGCCGUUAAGCCCGCCGCCUGGGGAGUACGGCCGCAAGGCUGAAACUUAAAGGAAUUGGCGGGGGAGCACUACAAGGGGUGGAGCGUGCGGUUUAAUUGGAUUCAACGCCGGGAACCUCACCGGGGGCGACGGCAGGAUGAAGGCCAGGCUGAAGGUCUUGCCGGACACGCCGAGAGGAGGUGCAUGGCCGCCGUCAGCUCGUACCGUGAGGCGUCCACUUAAGUGUGGUAACGAGCGAGACCCGCGCCCCCAGUUGCCAGCCCUUCCCGCUGGGAAGGGGGCACUCUGGGGGGACUGCCGGCGAUAAGCCGGAGGAAGGAGCGGGCGACGGUAGGUCAGUAUGCCCCGAAACCCCCGGGCUACACGCGCGCUACAAUGGGCGGGACAAUGGGAUCCGACCCCGAAAGGGGAAGGGAAUCCCCUAAACCCGCCCCCAGUUCGGAUCGCGGG
Molecule: ribosomal RNA, 1057 nt
Filed under: Thermococcus litoralis
Lineage: Archaea; Methanobacteriati; Methanobacteriota; Thermococci; Thermococcales; Thermococcaceae
Description: bacterial SSU rRNA
Rfam family: Archaeal small subunit ribosomal RNA
Source: RNAcentral